Gymnodraco acuticeps is the source of this 1040-nucleotide long non-coding RNA. RefSeq lists it as uncharacterized. The transcript is spliced from 4 exons. NCBI's taxonomy places the organism in Eukaryota, Metazoa, Chordata, Actinopteri, Perciformes, Bathydraconidae. The record is from RefSeq and is a predicted model, not a curated record.
GGGACACUAAGAGUGAUGCACACAGCUGGGAGACCAGGGGACACUAAAGAGUGACGCACACAGCUGGGAGACCAGGGGACACUAAAGAGUGACGCACACAGCUGGGAGACCAGGGGACACUAACAAGGGACGCACACAGCCGGGACCGGAGCGCUUGGUGACGUUCAGAAUUAUACAUUUGGACAACUGUCUGUCUGUCUCAUAAUAACUCUGUCGCUCCGGUAAUCCUCGCUGCUCCAUCAGGAGGAUUGUUCCUGUUGAAGCUCUGCACGUUGUUUUGGCCUCGUCUCUUCCUCCAGUCGCUCGUAAACUCAUCUGUUGGAUCUGAGGCUUAACUGGUGACGUUGUUAGAAACCUCCAUGUCAAAUGGAUGGAGAAUUUGUCCAUCACGAAUCUCUUUGCUGCCCCACUCAGGACACAGAUAAUGCAACGCCACCCUCUUCCUCGCUUGUGUAAAACAUCCUCGAGUUUGCUCUGGAUCAAAGCGAGAUCACACACAUCCUCAGUGAACCCCGGGCGCCGAGAGAGAAAAGGUUGGCGGCUGAAAGUGUUGGAGGUUUUUCUGCAGGGAGGAAAAAGAAGCUUUAGAGAGGGAGGAGGUCAGAGGGCCUCUUUAAUGACCGCUGUUCAACAAACACAGAGCAAGGUCGCCUCCUGAAGGUGGACGUGACGGCUGUGUGCAGGUUGGUGUGAAUAGAUUUCCUCCGGUGCUCUGACCCUCCUCCUGUGACCCAGCUGGUGAUUGUGUGAUGGAGCAGGUUUGAUCCCUGUGCUGAUGCUGGGCUUCUGAUGGACGAAUCUUCUUUGAUGCAGCGACAAGAUUGAAUCUCAACCCCCUCCUUCUGUCUGUGGCUUACAGUCGACCAAAUAGCACCAUCAGACCUUGCAUCCAAACCCUUCAAUAGUGUUUUAUCGUCAGAGAUUAUAGAUGUUUUAUCUCCUGUAUAUUUUCUACUUUUAAUGCUAUUUUAAUUCUAUUUUAAAUGUCUGCUAUCAUGCUAUUUUUAGGCAUAUAUUAUGGGUCUCAGAUAUAUACAAAU